RNAcentral lists this ribosomal RNA (253 nucleotides) under uncultured bacterium. RNAcentral describes it as "partial 16S ribosomal RNA". It matches the Rfam family "Bacterial small subunit ribosomal RNA", at positions 524 to 776 of the family's 1533-position model. The record is from RNAcentral.
UACGUAGGGGGCAAGCGUUGUCCGGAAUCAUUGGGCGUAAAGCGCGCGUAGGCGGCCCGAUAAGUCCGCUGUAAAAGUCCAGGGCUCAACCCUGGAAAGCCGGUGGAUACUGUCGGGCUAGAGUCCGGAAGAGGCGAGUGGAAUUCCUGGUGUAGCGGUGGAAUGCGCAGAUAUCGUAAGGAACGCCAGUGGCGAAAGCGGCCAUCUGGAUCACAAUUGACGCUGAAGUGCGAAAGCGUGGGUAGCAAACAGG